GAUGAACGCUGGCGGCGUGCCUAAUACAUGCAAGUCGAGCGAACAGACGAGGAGCUUGCUCCUCUGACGUUAGCGGCGGACGGGUGAGUAACACGUGGAUAACCUACCUAUAAGACUGGGAUAACUUCGGGAAACCGGAGCUCAUACCGGAUAAUAUCUUGACCCGCAUGGUUCAAUAGUGAAAGACGGUUUUGCUGUCACUUAUCGAUGGAUCCGCGCCGCAUUAGCUAGUUGGUAAGGUAACGGCUUACCAAGGCAACGAUGCGUAGCCGACCUGAGAGGGUGGUCGCCCACACUGGAACUUAGACACGGACCAGACUCCUACGGGAGGCAGCAGUAGGGAAUCUUCCGCAGUGGUCGAAAGCCUGACGGAGCAACGCCGCGUGAGUGAUGAAGGCCUUCGGAUCGUAAAACUCUGUUAUUAGGGAAGAACAAAUGUGUAAGUAACUAUGCACGUCUUGACGGUACCUAAUCAGAAAGCCACGGCUAACUACGUG
This 497-nucleotide ribosomal RNA is filed under the name uncultured bacterium. Its description in RNAcentral is "partial 16S ribosomal RNA". It matches the Rfam family "Bacterial small subunit ribosomal RNA", at positions 28 to 507 of the family's 1533-position model. The record is from RNAcentral.